CCUACGGGAGGCAGCAGUGGGGAAUAUUGGACAAUGGGCGAAAGCCUGAUCCAGCCAUGCCGCGUGUGUGAAGAAGGCCUUCGGGUUGUAAAGCACUUUCAGUGGGGAAGAAAGCCUUGGGGCUAAUACCCUCGAGGAAGGACAUCACCCACAGAAGAAGCACCGGCUAACUCCGUGCCAGCAGCCGCGGUAAUACGGAGGGUGCGAGCGUUAAUCGGAAUUACUGGGCGUAAAGCGCGCGUAGGCGGUCUGAUAAGCCGGUUGUGAAAGCCCCGGGCUCAACCUGGGAACGGCAUCCGGAACUGUCAGGCUAGAGUGCAGGAGAGGAAGGUAGAAUUCCCGGUCUAGCGGUGAAAUGCGUAGAGAUCGGGAGGAAUACCAGUGGCGAAGGCGGCCUUCUGGACUGACACUGACGCUGAGGUGCGAAAGCGUGGGUAGCAAACAGGAUUAGAUACCCUUGUAGUC
Molecule: ribosomal RNA, 465 nt
Filed under: Vreelandella stevensii
Lineage: Bacteria; Pseudomonadati; Pseudomonadota; Gammaproteobacteria; Oceanospirillales; Halomonadaceae
Description: partial 16S ribosomal RNA
Rfam family: Bacterial small subunit ribosomal RNA
Source: RNAcentral